CACCCAUGUCUUUUGCGCACUUGUUGUUUCCUGGGCGGGUUCGCCCGCCACCAGGACCAAACCAUAAACCUUUUUCUUAUGCAGUUUCCAUCAGCGUCAGUAAAAACAAUGUAAUAAUUACAACUUUCAACAACGGAUCUCUUGGUUCUGGCAUCGAUGAAGAACGCAGCGAAAUGCGAUACGUAGUGUGAAUUGCAGAAUUCAGUGAAUCAUCGAAUCUUUGAACGCACAUUGCGCCCUUUGGUAUUCCAAAGGGCAUGCCUGUUCGAGCGUCAUUUGUACCUUCAAGCUUUGCUUGGUGUUGGGCGUUUUUGUCUCCCUCUUUCUGGGAGACUCGCCUUAAAACGAUUGGCAGCCGGCCUACUGGUUUCGGAGCGCAGCACAUUUUUUGCGCUUUGUAUCAGGAGAAAAGGACGGUACUCCAUCAAGACUUUUACAAUUUUAACUUUUGACCUCGGAUCAGGUAGGGAUACCCGCUGAACUUAAGCAUAUCAA
RNAcentral lists this ribosomal RNA (495 nucleotides) under Bipolaris coffeana. RNAcentral's name for it is "eukaryotic LSU rRNA". The stretch from base 122 to 275 matches the Rfam family "5.8S ribosomal RNA". Lineage: Eukaryota; Fungi; Ascomycota; Dothideomycetes; Pleosporales; Pleosporaceae. The record is from RNAcentral.